CACGAAACGAUGAGCGUGAAGCAGCCGUGAGAAAUUGACUUGUCGUUGCAUUUCUAAUUCCCAGUUUUUCGAAACCAGAAAGACAUGCAGCUCAAAGUGAUGAUUGUGGGCCUGGCCAUCUUUGGACUUAUUGUGGCAGAGAGUGGUGCCAUGCCUGCCGGCAGCGUCAGUGAAGCCGAGGCCAGGGCUGAUCCCGAGACUGCUGAGCGUGCCGAGCAGACCAACGCUGAAGAGGCACGCAUCAGUGAGGCAUGCCUUAAGUCCCUCUGCGGGUAGUUCCCUCACGGAAGAAGGUGGAAAAUUUGAAAGAACGUGUCUUCUCAUAAAAGCAUGACCACACCAAAUGACUUUGAAAGAUUUUGCAGUGCGCAACACCAGAUCUCAGUGUCGAAUAUGAGGCCGCUGCGGCUGACUGUUGCAUGGGUUUGCGCAAAUAAUAAAGCUACUUUCUAACAAGAAA
This is a long non-coding RNA of Dermacentor silvarum, 460 nucleotides long. RefSeq lists it as uncharacterized. The transcript has 2 exons. Lineage: Eukaryota; Metazoa; Arthropoda; Arachnida; Ixodida; Ixodidae. The record is from RefSeq and is a predicted model, not a curated record.